CUCUUUCUUGAUUCGGUGGGUGGUGGUGCAUGGCCGUUCUUAGUUGGUGGACGAUUUGUCUGGUUAAUUCCGAUAACGAACGAGACUCUAGCCUGCUAAAUAGGUGGCGGGUUUUGAUUUUCGGCGCGCCGGGGUUUUGCUUUCGGGUUUUGCUCCGGCGCGUCCGUACACUGGGAGUUCGAGCCGGCUGGAUCAGGGCUCGGUUCGGGGCUGCGGUGUCGGUGGGCUGCGGCGGUGGUGCGUUCGGGGGCGUUUCGGCGUUUUCGGGCGUGCUGUCGCUGUGGUCUGUCGGCGUCGCGGUUUCGGGUCGGGUUCCCGGCCGUAAACUCGGGCUCUCGCGUCCGUCACAGCUCUUCUUAGAGGGACAAGCGGCGUCCAGCCGCGUGACAGUGAGCAAUAACAGGUCUGUGAUGCCCUUAGAUGUCCUGGGCCGCACGCGCGCUACACUGAAGGAAUCAGCGUGUUUCACUCUCCCUGUCCGAAAGGACCGGGUAACCGCUGAACCUCCUUCGUGG
Molecule: ribosomal RNA, 515 nt
Filed under: Ophryoxus gracilis
Lineage: Eukaryota; Metazoa; Arthropoda; Branchiopoda; Diplostraca; Macrotrichidae
Description: SSU rRNA
Rfam family: Eukaryotic small subunit ribosomal RNA
Source: RNAcentral